RNAcentral lists this ribosomal RNA (350 nucleotides) under uncultured Christensenellaceae bacterium. RNAcentral's name for it is "bacterial SSU rRNA". It matches the Rfam family "Bacterial small subunit ribosomal RNA", at positions 790 to 1139 of the family's 1533-position model. The record is from RNAcentral. Lineage: Bacteria; Bacillati; Bacillota; Clostridia; Christensenellales; Christensenellaceae.
GUAGUCCACACUGUAAACGAUGAAUGCUAGGUGUAGGGGGUAUCGACCCCUUCUGUGCCGCAGUCAACACAAUAAGCAUUCCGCCUGGGGAGUACGGCCGCAAGGUUGAAACUCAAAGGAAUUGACGGGGGCCCGCACAAGCAGCGGAGCAUGUGGUUUAAUUCGACGCAACGCGAAGAACCUUACCAGGUCUUGACAUCCACUUAAACUUACAGAGAUGUAAGGUGUGCUUGCACAAAGUGAGACAGGUGGUGCAUGGUUGUCGUCAGCUCGUGUCGUGAGAUGUUGGGUUAAGUCCCGCAACGAGCGCAACCCUUAUCUUCAGUUACUAACGCGUGAGGGUGAGGACU